Macaca fascicularis (crab-eating macaque) is the source of this 149-nucleotide unclassified non-coding RNA. It matches the Rfam family "Metazoan signal recognition particle RNA". Rfam says of the family: The signal recognition particle (SRP) is a universally conserved ribonucleoprotein. The record is from Ensembl. Lineage: Eukaryota; Metazoa; Chordata; Mammalia; Primates; Cercopithecidae.
GCCGGGCGGGGUGGUGCGUGCCUGUAAUCCCAACUACUCUGGAGGCCGAGGCAGGAGAAUCGCUUGAACCCGGGAGGCAGAGGUUGCAGUGAGCGGAGAUCUGUGCCACUGCACUCCAGCCUGGGUGACAGAGUGAGACUCUGUCUCAA